Molecule: non-coding RNA, 678 nt
Organism: Leptonychotes weddellii (Weddell seal)
Lineage: Eukaryota; Metazoa; Chordata; Mammalia; Carnivora; Phocidae
Source: RefSeq, a predicted model, not a curated record
GUCCGGCCCCAGUGCGGCUAAGGCCGCUUUGGGCCGUUCCUCCGCACAUCAGAAUUGGAGAGGACUGAACCUGCAGCGGGUGCAGGAGGAGCUGGCCCGAGCCCCGAGUGGGCCCGAGGUCCCGAAAUCCGAGUCCUCAGGAGGCGCCCGUCUGGGAGCCGGCCCCGGCGAGGCAGGAAUGGCCCCGAGGCCUCCGACGGCCGCGCCCCAGCUGAUUCUGACCUCUGGAGUUUCGAAGGUGCCUGAGUCAAGGUCUUGACCCUUUGGGAGCACAGUGAAUCAUAGGUAACAGUUACUAUAAUGUAGUGUCUUAGGAGCUUGCUGGAGAGGGAUCAAGGGAGGAGGGUCGUGGGAGGUGUGAGGCACUUGGCCCAGACCUGGGGUUAGGAGAGGAGCCCCAGAGGGGAGAACUUUACAGAGUCUUGGUGAUAGAAUAAAUGUUACCUCCACAGAGGAGGGAAGGCCAAGCAUUUUUACAGAGGCCAAAGAGAGUGUUUAGUUUCAAGUUCUAACUCUUCUUCAGGCUGAAUUAUGGUGUCGGAGGGAAGGAGAAGCCAGAGAUGAGGCUGUGGAAGUAAGGUGGGGACCAGGUUAUGAAGGACUCUGAAGGUCACAUGAAGGGAUGUAAUUUUUAAUCUCAAGAAAAACAUUUAUUGGGUGCCUGGGUGGCUCAGUCGG